This 587-nucleotide ribosomal RNA is filed under the name uncultured bacterium. RNAcentral's name for it is "bacterial SSU rRNA". It matches the Rfam family "Bacterial small subunit ribosomal RNA", at positions 338 to 916 of the family's 1533-position model. The record is from RNAcentral.
CCUACGGGAGGCAGCAGUGGGGAAUUUUGGACCAUGGGGGCAACCCUGAUCCAGCCAUUCCGCGUGAGUGAAGAAGGCCUUCGGGGUCGUAAAGCUCUUUUGUCCGGAGCGAAACGGGCGGCCCUAAUACGGUCGUCUACUGACGGUACCGGAAGAAUAAGCACCGGCUAACUACGUGCCAGCAGCCGCGGUAAUACGUAGGGUGCGAGCGUUAAUCGGAAUUACUGGGCGUAAAGCGUGCGCAGGCGGUUUUGUAAGCCAGAUGUGAAAUCCCCGGGCUCAACCUGGGAAUGGCAUUUGGGACUGCAAGGCUGGAGUGUGGCAGAGGGGACUAGAAUUCCUGGUGUAGCAGUGAAAUGCGUAGAUAUCAGGAGGAAUACCGAUGGCGAAGGCAGGUCCCUGGGUUAACACUGACGCUCAUGCACGAAAGCGUGGGGAGCAAACAGGAUUAGAUACCCUGGUAGUCCACGCCCUAAACGAUGUCGACUGGUUGUUGGGGGUUUGACACUCUCAGUAACGAAGCUAACGCGUGAAGUCGACCGCCUGGGGAGUACGGCCGCAAGGUUAAAACUCAAAGGAAUUGACGG